GGANUGGAAAUGGGGGAACCCUGAUCCAGCCAUNCCGCGUGAGNGAUGAAGGCCCUAGGGUUGUAAAACUCUUUCGGCGGGGACGAUAAUGACGGUACCCGCAGAAGAAGCUCCGGCUAACUUCGUGCCAGCAGCCGCGGUAAUACGAAGGGGGCUAGCGUUGUUCGGAAUUACUGGGCGUAAAGCGCGCGCAGGCGGUCCUUCAAGUCAGAGGUGAAAGCCCAGAGCUCAACUCUGGAAUGGCCUUUGAGACUAGAGGACUUGGGUACGGGAGAGGUGAGUGGAAUUCCGAGUGUAGAGGUGAAAUUCGUAGAUAUUCGGAAGAACACCAGUGGCGAAGGCGGCUCACUGGCCCGUUACCGACGCUCAGGCGCGACAGCGUGGGGAGCAAACAGGAUUAGAUACCCUGGUAGUCCACGCCGUAAACGAUGGGUGCUAGGUGUGGGGAGUGUCGACUCUCUCUGUGCCGAAGCUAACGCAUUAAGCACCCCGCCUGGGGAGUACGGCCGCAAGGCUAAAACUCAAAAGAAUUGACGGA
Molecule: ribosomal RNA, 538 nt
Filed under: uncultured bacterium
Lineage: Bacteria
Description: bacterial SSU rRNA
Rfam family: Bacterial small subunit ribosomal RNA
Source: RNAcentral